GCUGGGUGUGGUGGCACAUGCCUGUAAUCCCAGCUACUCGGGAGGCUGAGGCAGGAGAAUUGCUUGAAUCCGGGAGGAGGAGGCUGCAGUGAGCCAUGAUGGCGCCACUGCACUCCAGCCUGGGCGACAAAGCGAGACCCUGUCUCAA
Molecule: non-coding RNA, 148 nt
Filed under: Nomascus leucogenys (northern white-cheeked gibbon)
Lineage: Eukaryota; Metazoa; Chordata; Mammalia; Primates; Hylobatidae
Source: Rfam by way of RNAcentral